CCACUAUGUGGGAAUAUACUGAAUUUGUUGUUGUUGCCUAUUAAGAGAAUAGGUCCCGAAAAAGUGGUCCGUCUUUCAUCAUCUAUACCAGUUGCCAUGCAAGAACCAAUAGAAAGGAUUUCGACAAAAGGAGAAAUCCACCCGAGGAGGGGCUCACGUCUAAUUAGCUAGUUGGUGAAGCAAUAGCUUACCAAGACGAUGAUCAGUAGCUAGUCCGAAAGGAUGAUCAGUCACAUUGGGACUGAGAUACGACCCAGACUCUUAUGGGACACAGUACAGCAGUGGAGAAUUUUUCGUAAUGGGCGAAUGCGUGACGGAGCAAUGCUGCGUAGAGGUAGAAGGCCCACGGGUUGUGAACUUCUUUUCUCAGAGAAGAAGCAAUGACAAUAUCUGAGGAAUAAGCAUCAUCUCACUAAGAUGGGGGCUAGAAAAAAGGGUCC
RNAcentral lists this non-coding RNA (440 nucleotides) under Capsicum annuum. Its description in RNAcentral is "Bacterial small subunit ribosomal RNA". It matches the Rfam family "Bacterial small subunit ribosomal RNA", at positions 148 to 535 of the family's 1533-position model. Lineage: Eukaryota; Viridiplantae; Streptophyta; Magnoliopsida; Solanales; Solanaceae. The record is from Rfam by way of RNAcentral.